Molecule: RNase P RNA, 524 nt
Filed under: Phycisphaerae bacterium
Lineage: Bacteria; Pseudomonadati; Planctomycetota; Phycisphaerae
Description: RNase P RNA component class A
Rfam family: Bacterial RNase P class A
About the family: Ribonuclease P (RNase P) is a ubiquitous endoribonuclease, found in archaea, bacteria and eukarya as well as chloroplasts and mitochondria. Its best characterised activity is the generation of mature 5'-ends of tRNAs by cleaving the 5'-leader elements of precursor-tRNAs.
Source: RNAcentral
ACGAGUGGUCAGGCGACCGCUGAGGGCGAAAGUCCUUGGAGGAAAGUCCGAACACCAUAGGGUACGGUGGCGGCUAACGGCCGCCCGGCUGAGAGUCGAUGUGUCGUUGCCGACGUCAACGGCCCAGCUUUUAGCCGCGGGAAAGUGCCACAGAAAACAAACCGCCUCGUCCUCCAUGAAAGCCGUCGGGCCUGAGGGGGAGGUAAGGGUGAAAAGGUGCGGUAAGAGCGCACCGCGGCACUGGUGACAGUGCUGGCACGGUAAACCCCACCGGGUGCAAGGCCAAAUAAGAAGCCGACGGGCUGACCCGGCCCAUGUCUCUGUCUUCGCCUACGCCCCCGUCAAAGACGGGCGAAGCAGAGAACAGUGCUGGCGGGAACUUCGGAGCGCCCAAAAGGCGUGAGAAGCCGCCGGGACGCGAGGCUUCGGGUAGGCUGCUGGAGCCGGUCAGCAAUGUCCGGCCAAGAUAAAUGGUCGCCGCCGCGCAAGCGGAACAGAAUUCGGCUUAUCGACCACUCACAUGA